UCACAGCUACAACCGCGCAGAACAAGUUAUUAAGAACUUCGGUCACUUGGGAUGGCGAGUCUAAGUAUCUAU
Molecule: regulatory RNA element, 72 nt
Organism: Enterococcus hermanniensis
Lineage: Bacteria; Bacillati; Bacillota; Bacilli; Lactobacillales; Enterococcaceae
Source: Rfam